CCCCAGGACCGAGGUUGGGAAACACUGCUUUAGAGCAUAUGAAAUGCAAACAGAAGAUAAAAAGGACUCAAGAAUCCUGUAUUGUUUGAAGACAAUACAGUUGCGAGUUCAGGCCCAGGAGAGAGGCCUAGUCUGCCCUUCACUAAUUCCGAUGCCCAUCUUGAUACAGUGACUUUGGAAUAAGAAAAGAGGGAGAAAAUCAAAAUGGAGCUGAAAGAGCCUCCUCCGAUCUAGAGCAUUCAUUACUCUUAAGACUUCAGUCCACCUUUGGAAUCUGACAAUUGACCAAUGCCUUUUUGAACUUCUCUUUUGCGCUGCACUUGUGGAGCCGUGUGCCCAUAUCUGAGGAAUUUAAAUCAUUUCAUCAUCAGUUCUUCAGCAAGUAGGAUGUCCUUAGGACCCUGGCAAUCCCCCUUAAUGAGGCUCCUGCUGUGGAGAACGUGGAGUACAGAGUUAAACUCACCGUUUGAUUUAAAUGAGUCAAGUUGACGUCAUUUGCAGAAUUGAAAAGUAGCCAAGUAGCUAAUUUUACUCCUGCUGUUGAAGAAUCUAAGUUUUAAAAUUGUAAAAUGUGGUCUCCUUUUUAAGUCUAACUUGCAACUGUGUUGGUUGAAGUAUUUUGCAGGUGAGCGUUAUGCAUAUUAUGUACUGUAUGAAGACUUAUAGACCUAGAAAUGAGCUUGAAAGUGAGGUAGGGUACUGUAGUUUUUAGUUGUAGCUGGAGAAAUAACUAAAUAAAAACUAGCAUAAAUCUGCAAUACUGGAAAAAAUGUGCUUUUAUGAAUAAAGACGUGAUAUACAAUAAUCCAACAAGAAAGUUGUGCUUCCGGAAUUAACAGUUCCAUGGGAAGAUUGUUUGGAUGAUGCCUUCGAAAGAAAGUUCUCUAAGUGCGUGGGUCUGGUCAGAAUCUGUCAGUAGUCGGGAUGGAGAGCUAGGUUUCUCCCAGUGGAGGUCGGGUGCAGGGGAUUUGCGUCCCAUUCUUUGGUUAGAGCCUUUAGCAGUUUGGGCAUCAAAGAGAGGGGAAGAAGAAAGCCAUCCAGAGCACCAUCGAAGCGGCAGAGAAAGUCUCAUAAUGGCUGUGGCUCAGAAGAGGAGAGACAUGGUGUCAGAGUAGCUAGCCUCCUGGACACAUGCUGGGGUCUGACCAACUCCAGUGGGGUCACCUGGAGGAGAAUGUAUGAUGUUGAAAGACCCGAAACACUGGAUGAUCUCAGGAACAUUACUGAUGAAAUGUCCAGACUGAAGCAUCAGCAGAUAUAGAUUCACAGCAUUGAGUUAUAUAUAAUGUUGGAUAAAGUAUUUCAGGUAAUUGAUUCCUACUAAUCAGCUGUAUAGUUAAAACUUUUGUGUCAUCUGAAAAGAUAUAUCUGAUAGAUUCAGAUGUUAUGGCACAAAUAUGAAGCAAUAAACUAUCAUGGCUAAAAAGGGAAGCUCUUGAUUAGAAUCUUUAGAAGUUUCUUGUUUCACCCUCACCCUUUCCCAAGAGUUUGUCUCAGUCAUUAUAAAAUGAUAAUGGGAGCAGCAAAUGAAGACAAUCACUAGACCCUCACUGUAAGUUAAUAUUUCAUUUAUUGCAGUAAAUUUCCCAAUGAAUUUCAAAGUAAAAUUUUGGCAUGGUAUACAUAAAAAGGGCCUUUCGUUAUAGUGAAUCAUAUACUAGUGCAAAAUUAAAGAAGUAUGUUCAAGACAGAAUGGAAUGUGAGAUGUGUUCUUUUCACACUUUGGAGGGAAAAUCUGGAAGAUACUUUUAAGUCAAGUAGUUGAAGCAGAAACUCCUUGAAAAUGUUUCAAU
Molecule: long non-coding RNA, 1793 nt
Organism: Polypterus senegalus (gray bichir)
Lineage: Eukaryota; Metazoa; Chordata; Cladistia; Polypteriformes; Polypteridae
Exons: 5
Source: RefSeq, a predicted model, not a curated record